Molecule: ribosomal RNA, 500 nt
Filed under: uncultured bacterium
Lineage: Bacteria
Description: partial 16S ribosomal RNA
Rfam family: Bacterial small subunit ribosomal RNA
Source: RNAcentral
AUUGAACGCUGGCGGAAUGCUUUACACAUGCAAGUCGAACGGCAGCACGGACUUCGGUCUGGUGGCGAGUGGCGAACGGGUGAGUAAUACAUCGGAACGUGCCCAGUCGUGGGGGAUAACGUAGCGAAAGCUACGCUAAUACCGCAUACGAUCUAAGGAUGAAAGCGGGGGAUCGCAAGACCUCGCGCGAUUGGAGCGGCCGAUGGCAGAUUAGGUAGUUGGUGGGGUAAAGGCUCACCAAGCCGACGAUCCGUAGCUGGUCUGAGAGGACGACAGGCCACACUGGGACUGAGACACGGCCCAGACUCCUACGGGAGGCAGCAGUGGGGAAUUUUGGACAAUGGGCGCAAGCCUGAUCCAGCCAUUCCGCGUGCAGGAUGAAGGCCCUCGGGUUGUAAACUGCUUUUGUACGGAACGAAAAGGCUCUGGUUAAUACCUGGGGCUCAUGACGGUACCGUAAGAAUAAGCACCGGCUAACUACGUGCCAGCAGCCGCCGUAA